RNAcentral lists this ribosomal RNA (216 nucleotides) under Glomeromycotina sp. Its description in RNAcentral is "partial small subunit ribosomal RNA". The stretch from base 44 to 216 matches the Rfam family "Eukaryotic small subunit ribosomal RNA", at positions 690 to 864 of the family's 1831-position model. Lineage: Eukaryota; Fungi; Glomeromycota. The record is from RNAcentral.
GGGUCAGUAGGUUGGUCGUGCCACCGGUACGUACUGGUCUCACUGAUUCCUCCUUCCUGAAGAACCGUAGUGCCAUUAAUUUGGUGUUGCGGGGAAACAGGACUGUUACUUUGAAAAAAUUGGAGUGUUUAAAGCAAGCUAACGCUUGAAUACAUUAGCAUGGAAUAAUGAAAUAGGACGAUCGAUCCUAUUUUGUUGGUCUCCAGGAUUGACGUA